GCGGAGGCUACACAUGCAGUGAGCGCGCUUCGGGUGAGCGGCGGACGGGUUAGUAACGCGUGGGAACGUGCCCUUCUCUACGGAAUAGCCUCUGGAAACGGAGAGUAAUACCGUAUACGCCCUUUGGGGGAAAGAUUUAUCGGAGAAGGAUCGGCCCGCGUUAGAUUAGGUAGUUGGUGGGGUAACGGCCUACCAAGCCUACGAUCUAUAGCUGGUUUUAGAGGAUGAUCAGCAACACUGGGACUGAGGCACGGCCCAGACUCCUACGGGAGGCAGCAGUGGGGAAUCUUAGACAAUGGGGGCAACCCUGAUCUAGCCAUGCCGCGUGAGUGAUGAAGGCCUUAGGGUCGUAAAGCUCUUUCGCCUGUGAUGAUAAUGACAGUAGCAGGUAAAGAAACCCCGGCUAACUCCGUGCCAGCAGCCGCGGUAAUACGGAGGGGGUUAGCGUUGUUCGGAAUUACUGGGCGUAAAGCGCGCGUAGGCGGAUUAGAAAG
Molecule: ribosomal RNA, 494 nt
Filed under: uncultured Ruegeria sp.
Lineage: Bacteria; Pseudomonadati; Pseudomonadota; Alphaproteobacteria; Rhodobacterales; Roseobacteraceae
Description: bacterial SSU rRNA
Rfam family: Bacterial small subunit ribosomal RNA
Source: RNAcentral